AAUGAACGCUAGCUACAGGCUUAACACAUGCAAGUCGAGGGGUAACAAGGGGAAAGCUUGCUUUCCUUGUUGACGACCGGCGCACGGGUGAGUAACGCGUAUCCAACCUGCCUAUAACUAGGGAAUAACCUUGCGAAAGUAAGACUAAUACCCUAUGAUUUCCUUUGAUGACAUCAGAUUAGGAAUAAAGAUUUAUCGGUUAUAGAUGGGGAUGCGUCUGAUUAGCUUGUUGGCGGGGUAACGGCCCACCAAGGCAACGAUCAGUAGGGGUUCUGAGAGGAAGGUCCCCCACAUUGGAACUGAGACACGGUCCAAACUCCUACGGGAGGCAGCAGUGAGGAAUAUUGGUCAAUGGGCGGAAGCCUGAACCAGCCAAGUAGCGUGCAGGAUGGCGGCCCUAUGGGUUGUAAACUGCUUUUAUACAGGAAUAAAGUUAGCCACGUGUGGUUAUUUGUAGGUACUGUAUGAAUAAGGACCGGCUAAUUCCGUGCCAGCAGCCGCCGUAA
This 506-nucleotide ribosomal RNA is filed under the name uncultured bacterium. RNAcentral describes it as "partial 16S ribosomal RNA". It matches the Rfam family "Bacterial small subunit ribosomal RNA", at positions 29 to 523 of the family's 1533-position model. The record is from RNAcentral.